This 476-nucleotide unclassified non-coding RNA is filed under the name Bombus terrestris (buff-tailed bumblebee). Its description in RNAcentral is "misc RNA ENSBTSG00005035541.1". Lineage: Eukaryota; Metazoa; Arthropoda; Insecta; Hymenoptera; Apidae. The record is from RNAcentral.
AUUCAGAAGCGUUUGUCUGGGAUGAAGGAUCGUACGCGUUAGGAACGUUAGGAAAUUCUCAUUUGACUGUUACAGGUAAAAGAUGCGCCCUCGGAAUCGUCAGAGAUGCACACAUUUAGCAAGGAGAAACGCCAUCCAGCAGUAUGCGGGACGAAGAAAGAAGAUGAGAAACGUAGACGAUAAAUCAGACGAGAAAACAAAAUGGAUAAAGAUAAUUGAGAACAUUUAUUACAAGUAACAACUGCUGGCAACGAUCAGGUCCGUUUUAGAAUCAUAGAAAAUAUCAAUUUUGUUAUCAAGCUCGUCGACCGACAUACGCAUUCGAUUAACAGGAUUAAAUUUACCGUAAGAGGCACGCUGUUGUACAAAAAGCGUAAAUGGAAGGCCCGCGAGGAGCAUAGAUUUUAAAACAUUCGAGCACUGCCGCACGAUUUAUGCCACCAAUAAAGACAUUAAGAAAAAAGCAAGAUGUCGCA